GACGAACGCUGGCGGCGUGCUUAACACAUGCAAGUCGAACGGAAAGGCCCUGCUUUUGUGGGGUGCUCGAGGGGCGAACGGGUGAGUAACACGUGAGUAACCUGCCCUUGACUUUGGGAUAACUUCAGGAAACUGGGGCUAAUACCGGAUAGGAGCUCCUGCUGCAUGGUGGGGGUUGGAAAGUUUCGGCGGGUGGGGAUGGACUCGCGGCUGAUCAGCUUGUUGGUGGGGGAGUGGCUUACCAAGGCUUUGACGGGUAGCCGGCCUGAGAGGGUGACCGGCCACAUUGGGCCUGAGAUACGGCCCAGACUCCUACGGGAGGCAGCAGUGGGGAAUAUUGCACAAUGGGCGGAAGCCUGAUGCAGCAACGCCGCGUGCGGGAUGACGGCCUUCGGGUUGUAAACCGCUUUCGCCUGUGACGAAGCGUGAGUGACGGUAAUGGGUAAAGAAGCACCGGCUAACUACGUG
RNAcentral lists this ribosomal RNA (468 nucleotides) under uncultured bacterium. Its description in RNAcentral is "partial 16S ribosomal RNA". It matches the Rfam family "Bacterial small subunit ribosomal RNA", at positions 28 to 507 of the family's 1533-position model. The record is from RNAcentral.